This is a long non-coding RNA of Camellia sinensis, 2004 nucleotides long. RefSeq lists it as uncharacterized. The record is from RefSeq and is a predicted model, not a curated record. Lineage: Eukaryota; Viridiplantae; Streptophyta; Magnoliopsida; Ericales; Theaceae.
AGUUCAUUUGUAGAAUUAUUGUGAUAUGUUGUCAUCAAGUUCACUGUCAAGAACUUUGUCAUUUAUCUUACAUCCUCGUAAAAUCAAUGCAAUUAAAUCUAAUCAAUUAAAUAGUGACGCAACAAUAUAUAAUAAUUUGACAUGACCAAUGUCAAUAUCUAGAGAAAUUAGAAUCGACUAAAAAUAAAUAAAAAUGAAAAUAAUUGGAAUAUUAUUGAUGAAGAAAGUUUAUGCCGUUAGACUUACACUUUAUUUAUAAUAUAAAAAAAUCUUAAUUGAAAUAUUAAAUAAUUAAUUAGUCUAAUUCUUGGCUAAACACAAAAUAUAAAGCAUAAAAUAAUCAAAGUUAACAAACUUUUGGUUGAGUCUAAAAUAGAAAUGCUAGAAAGCCUUAGAAAAAUGCCAAAACAAAUGAAACUUAAAGUUUUCAUAAACGACAAAAAUACAAAUUAUCUUAGCUUACUUUUUUAUUUGGUUUGAAAGAUGGAUAUGCGGAUAGACUAUUUUAAUAUAUCCGUCAGGGAGUAUUGUCCCUUAACACUUGCAGCAUAUCUGUAGAGAAUUUUACUGCACCUACGUCAAGGCCGAAGUUUAGGCCCCUGUAUGCUCCAAGUCCUAAAGAUUAUGUUUAAUUUUAACAAAGGGAUAUAGAGACUCGAACCUAAAUUUUGAACGAGAGAUUCAAAGGUCUUACCACUAAACCAACCCCUUGAUAAAUUAUCUUAGCUUACGUCAUAGCAAGGUAGUGACUCUUGUAUGUCCUAUUCUAGUCAGACUAGAAGUGAUUUAGAGAUUGUCUAUUAAAAUUACAUUUUUAUCCUUGACCACUAUUUCAAUCUUUUUUCUUUUUUUUUUUAAAUAGAAAAAGAUAGGUAUCCUUAUAAAAUUAUUGAAUAUUUUACCUACCACACACAUGUAUGGUGUGGAGUCCAGAUCAAUGGGUAGGUGCAAAAUAUUCGACAGUUUAAUAAAAGUUUGUAUCCUGGUUAUUCCAAUUAUUCUAAAAAAGCGUCAACUAUUUGUUUUACAUUAAAAGAUUGAGGUUGCGUUUGGUAGAGUUUUGUAAAUAUGAUUUGAGAGUAUGAGUUGUAUUUUGAAUUUGUGAGUUUUGGAAUUAUGAUUUGAGUGUGGAAAGUUUGUUUGGUGAAAGAGUUUUGAAAAUAAUUUUGAAUUGAAUGGAGAAUUUUUGAUGUGACAUAUGAUAUUUAAUACAAAAAUUUAUAACACAUAACCAAACAUACAACUCAAAAUUUUAUUAAAGUACAUAAAAAAAAAAAACAACGCUGCUACAGACAUCGACGAAGUGAGACGCGAAUGCCUCGAAUUGAGCUGGCAGUUCAAACUCUGGAUUCAUUUCACGCGCCUCACUCAGUGUACAUCUCACGAGCCUUGAAGACUGAAGAGAACAAAUCCGCGUAUCUAGGAGAUAGAGAGACAGACGACCACGACCCAAGGGCUUGACCCCGACGACGACAACGACGACCUGGGUGGCCACCGACGACAAGGAAGACCAUCGUUGAGCAUCAACCACGGUCUAGCAACCUCCAAUUCGUCCAGUUUCUCUGAAAAUUUCAGCCUCCAACGGCCAAGAAGCAACUGAUUCGAGGAUAUUGCAAGUGCAGAACUUGCUCCAACACAUCCAAUCCGGCUUGGACUUGCUCUUAACUUUUUUGUAUUUUACUAUGAGAUUUUGAAAUCUCCUGACCGUGCUUGCAAUCUUGCCAAACAGAGCAACAAAAUGAUGGAAGGGUCAAACAAUCCGAGUGAGGAAGUUCAAGAACCGCAGAGUGGUGAAGUUGAAGAAUCUAAGCAAGGGAUGUGUUUUACCUCAAAGCAACAAGUGUAUGCAUUUUAUGCAAAAUAUGCGAAGCACCUUGGAUCCAAAUGCCCCAUUUUAUUUUUAGUUUUGCAGUAGUAAUUUUAUGACUUUGUUUUGUGAGCUUUGGAUACUUCGGUUUGAUUAUGUAGAAAUGUUAAUGGUUGGAAGGUGACUUAUUAUUCGAA